CCAAUAGCGUAUAUUAAAGUUGUUGCAGUUAAAAAGCUCGUAGUUGAAUUUCGGAGUUUGUCGGUUGGUCGGGCUUCAUUGUCCGCACUGACCUGAUGGAUUCCUACCUUCUGAAUAACCAGCAUGCUAUUAAAUUAGUGCGUUGGGGAAGCAGAGCUAUUACCUUGAAAAAAUUAGAGUGCUUAAAGCAGGCUUAUGCUUGAAUAGAUUAGCAUGGAAUAAUAAAAUAGGACGGCAUGGUUCUAUUUUGUUGGUUUCUAGGAUCACCGUAAUGAUUAAUAGGGAUAGUUGGGGGCAUUAGUAUUCAAUUGUCAGAGGUGAAAUUCUUGGAUUUAUUGAAGACUAACUUCUGCGAAAGCAUUUGCCAAGGAUGUUUUCAUUAAUCAAGAACGAAAGUUAGGGGAUCGAAGACGAUCAGAUACCGUCGUAGUCUUAACCAUAAACUAUGCCGACUAGGGAUCGGACGAUGUUAAUUUUUUAAUGACUCGUUCGGCGCCUUACG
RNAcentral lists this unclassified non-coding RNA (502 nucleotides) under uncultured Acaulospora. RNAcentral's name for it is "SSU rRNA". It matches the Rfam family "Eukaryotic small subunit ribosomal RNA", at positions 591 to 1092 of the family's 1831-position model. Lineage: Eukaryota; Fungi; Glomeromycota; Glomeromycetes; Diversisporales; Acaulosporaceae. The record is from RNAcentral.